CUGGAUGCAGUACAUUGGAAUCCUGAAGCACCACCACGAACGCUACCGCGCGUGCGCCUGCGGUGCGGUAAGGCACCACCCUGUUGUGCCAGCAGCGGGGGAGAGUCAAGUCAAGUACAACACAGGACUGACGGGGUGGGGCGCGCCAAAGCAACCCGGGACCCCUCCGGGGUCACUACAAAAGCGCACCUCUUCUUUUUUCCUUCCAGAAUAGAAGAUGGGGUUGUACCUGUCAUCUCUUGA
Molecule: ribosomal RNA, 243 nt
Filed under: Triticum aestivum (bread wheat)
Lineage: Eukaryota; Viridiplantae; Streptophyta; Magnoliopsida; Poales; Poaceae
Description: partial small subunit ribosomal RNA
Source: RNAcentral